This 117-nucleotide ribosomal RNA is filed under the name uncultured delta proteobacterium. Lineage: Bacteria; Deltaproteobacteria. The record is from RNAcentral.
UUUGGUAGUGAUGGCGAGAAGGCAACACUUGUAUCCAUUCCGAACACAAAAGUUAAGUUUCUCAGCGCCGAUGGUACUGCUGGGGCAGCUCAGUGGGAGAGUAGGACACUGCCAAUC